RNAcentral lists this unclassified non-coding RNA (235 nucleotides) under plant metagenome. Its description in RNAcentral is "partial contains small subunit ribosomal RNA, internal transcribed spacer 1, and 5.8S ribosomal RNA". The record is from RNAcentral.
UCUCCGUUGGUGAACCAGCGGAGGGAUCAUUACCGAGUUUCCAACUCCCAAACCCAUGUGAACCUACCGCACGUUGCUUCGGCGGACCGCCCCGGCGCCCGAACCCCCAGGGGGGAGGCCCGGACCCAGGCGCCCGCCGGGGGACCCAAACUCCAGCAUCCGCCGCGCGGCGUCAGUCUCCUCUGAGUGAAAAGAAAACGAAUCAAAACUUUCAACAACGGAUCUCUUGGCUCUG